RNAcentral lists this ribosomal RNA (492 nucleotides) under uncultured bacterium. RNAcentral's name for it is "partial 16S ribosomal RNA". It matches the Rfam family "Bacterial small subunit ribosomal RNA", at positions 29 to 507 of the family's 1533-position model. The record is from RNAcentral.
AGUGAACGCUGGCGGUAGGCCUAACACAUGCAAGUCGAACGGCAGCACAGUAAGAGCUUGCUCUUACGGGUGGCGAGUGGCGGACGGGUGAGGAAUACAUCGGAAUCUACUUUUUCGUGGGGGAUAGCGUAGGGAAACUUACGCUAAUACCGCAUACGACCUACGGGUGAAAGCAGGGGAUCUUCGGACCUUGCGCGAUUGAAUGAGCCGAUGUCGGAUUAGCUAGUUGGCGGGGUAAAGGCCCACCAAGGCGACGAUCCGUAGCUGGUCUGAGAGGAUGAUCAGCUACACUGGAACUGAGACACGGUCCAGACUCCUACGGGAGGCAGCAGUGGGGAAUAUUGGACAAUGGGCGCAAGCCUGAUCCAGCCAUACCGCGUGGGUGAAGAAGGCCUUCGGGUUGUAAAGCCCUUUUGUUGGGAAAGAAAAGCAGCAGGUUAAUACCCCGCUGUUCUGACGGUACCCAAAGAAUAAGCACCGGCUAACUUCGUG